UACGUAGGGUGCAAGCGUUAAUCGGAAUUACUGGGCGUAAAGCGCGCGCAGGCGGUGAUGUAAGACAGUUGUGAAAUCCCCGGGCUCAACCUGGGAACUGCAUCUGUGACUGCAUUGCUGGAGUGCGGCAGAGGGGGAUGGAAUUCCGCGUGUAGCAGUGAAAUGCGUAGAUAUGCGGAGGAACACCGAUGGCGAAGGCAAUCCCCUGGGCCUGCACUGACGCUCAUGCACGAAAGCGUGGGGAGCAAACAGG
RNAcentral lists this ribosomal RNA (253 nucleotides) under uncultured bacterium. RNAcentral's name for it is "partial 16S ribosomal RNA". It matches the Rfam family "Bacterial small subunit ribosomal RNA", at positions 524 to 776 of the family's 1533-position model. The record is from RNAcentral.